Molecule: non-coding RNA, 3272 nt
Organism: Meleagris gallopavo (turkey)
Lineage: Eukaryota; Metazoa; Chordata; Aves; Galliformes; Phasianidae
Source: RefSeq, a predicted model, not a curated record
UCACCUCUUCAAACCCAGCAGGAGGGACUUCCAGCAGCAAGGCUUCAAGUGUCCUAGUGAGAUGAAACCCACUGAGGCGCUGCCCACAGCGAGGGGAGCAGCCUGCUUCGCUGAUCCUUAGCCACAGAAAUGCCUGCUCCAAAAGAAAAGCAGCAAGCUAGAUGCAGACCUGGUAGACACCAUGAGGAGAACAUGAGGAACCUACAGAGUUUUUGAAGUAACCCCAGCACAGCUGAGAUACAUAAACUCUCAAGAGAGAGGUGCUCCUCUAUUGUUAAGAAGAUGUAGGAGGAAGGAUGACAUGGCUGACACCCUGUACCAUCUAUCCUGACAGAGAAAGGAACAAGUCACACAUUUUCUGCUACAUCCAUUGAAUCUCUGCACAACUUCCUUUUCUCAUACCAUAUUUGCUCCUGGCCCAUUGCAGGUAAACUGUUCUUUAAAAUGGAUUGAUCACAGUUCAGUGAGCCUCAGACAUUACAUCUUCAUUCCAGAAGUAUGGGUUGAUAGUAAAGAGGUACACUGAGAGGCACCGUUUUUCUGCCAGUGCCUUGGACCUCUAAUCUGUGUAGUGAGGCAGCUUUGUACAAAAGAGGGAUUUUGAUUGAUGCUGAGGAGGUAGGAGGCAAGAAUAUUUCUGUUAUCUGUAGGUUUGGGCAAUUUGUGUUGAAAAACAAAAAGGAGGACAGGUCCAAGAUUUUAGAAUAAUAAUUUUCUAAAAGAGGAGAUUUACUGAAAUCAACUGGACAUAUGAAAAAAAAAUCUGUUUUCUGAAUGGACACUUCCGCAAUGGGGAAAAAAAUCUUAUAAAAUACUGUCCUGUGGUAGCUGUGAGAUAUGCCCUUGAAGACUUACGGCUUCUGCUUUACAUUCAAAAUAUUUCCACAGAGCUGCCUCUAAAUCCCAUGGAAUGCUGCUCCCCAUCACACACAUCUCUGGCAUCUCCCUCCUGUCCUGGAGGCCUCUUCUGCCCUGAGCUCCCCUGCUUUGUUAGCACAGGAUGUAAGUAAGGAGUGCUGCUGGUUCCUGUGGUUUUGCAGCUGAUGACACGUGUUAUCACUGCUCAACAAACACAGCCAAGGUAUCAGUUACCAGGAGACUCUCAGUCUUUCUAAUCUAAUUGUUCAAUAAGGAAAGUUUGGCUCAGAGCUCCAGAGAGCAUUUAACUGUCUGCCUUCCUGCUCCAGCCAUGUAAAGAGAAGACCAUGUUGCUACUUCUACUGUGGCAAGGCUUAUUUAAGGGCUUCCUGCUCUCCUCUCCUUCAUCUGAGUUUGUUAGAACAGUGCUAACACGUUUAUGGGCAAGGGAAAGUCUCAGCCUGUAAGACUCUGUCCAUACCAUGAAAAAGAAAAUCAGAUGAAUCAGCUAAUUAGACCAGUGGUUAUCAGCUAGAAAGUUUUAAUAUGGGAAUAGCUUUUAAAUUUACAAUCCUAUUAUAUCAUUCUUUCUCUUGAUUCAUCUAAUCUUUCUUGCAAUGCCUACAAAAUAUGAAUAUUCUUGCCAAGGAUGCAUUUAAAUUUCACUGAUUAGUGACUUUAUGCUGUGAGUCUUUGGGAAAAGCCUUUUUCUUCCAGAGCUGAUGUUUGUAGACCACAGCAUGCUCAAUCCAAUAGUGGUGGCACCUCCUUGGCUCUCCCUGGGCACUCCUGCUACCAGACGGUGGCCCAACAGCUGCCCCAACACAGAGGCAUUAGGCCAUAAAUUUAGCUUUUUCCUCAUGCUUUUUAAACUCUUAUGCUGCACUCACAUGUAAUUCUUACUUUGUACACCAUCCCAAACAUCCAUCUCCAUACUUGAUGAUGCUGUGGGACAUUCAUCUCUGCCAGCUCUAUCUCCCUUCCUCUCAUUGCUGGAUUUGAAGUUUGGAAGGCUAAUGUUAAACCUUCAGCCCCUGCCUCAAUUCAUGCCUGGCUUGGGGAUCAUGGUGGGCUCACAAUGAGUUACUGGCCCUUUGCCUCUACUGGGUCUGCUUUUUGACGGCUUUCACUCUAUGCUUCUGAUCUUCGAGCAAAUCCUAGCUGUAACCCCAGCCUUCACAUUCCCCUUAUGAACUGCUGGCAAACCCGCCCCCUUCUUGCUCUAGGAACCCAAUGGAGUAACUCCUGACAAAUUGCUUUCUUCUGUCCUUGUGGCCAGUGCACAAUCUUAACAUUACCUUCUUGUCUUAGUUAGUGCUGGCAGCUUUGGAUCGCUUUGGAGAGGACUUUAAGUUAGGAUGACUCUCACUUUUUAUGUAGGAUUAAAAUUUGCAAUUUUUCAGGUAGUUAGGGACAAACUUCUGCCUGGCUCUGGGCCAGCGAGGGCUCUUGCACAGCCUGCUGGGGCAAAGGAAAGCUAGCACAGCAGGGAUGGUUUCACUGAAACCAGUUUGAUGGCUCUGGCAGGUUUCUGGACUGUUGUGAAGGUGAUGAUCAAAGCUGCAGAUGGGAAUAGGACCCAGAUGUAAUGAAAGACAGAAGAGCUACUCUCUAACAUAUCCUUAAUCUUGUCAGUUUAAUGCAUUCUGUAUUCAGUUAUGAAUUUGCCCAUUUGUCUUCACAAUAACUAAUGCUACUCAAACCACAGAUACUAGCUUUAUGGCUGGAUCUCACAGGAUUCCAGCUAUUCUGGCUUCUUCACAGUCCCCUGUGUUGGGAGGAAGACUCAAGCUAGCAGAACUGGCUGCAAACUGAUGAUCCCUGCCUUGCCAGUCUCAUACCCACAGGAUCUAUAGGACCCAGCAAGAACUAUUCUGUCCCUAUGGCACUGGUGCAGGUGAUUUGGUCUUAUUCAGGGAACUGCCUGUUGACAUUUUGGAGAGGAAAUUGACCAAAUUUAACAGAUUUCUUCUUAAGGGACUGAAGGAAAUGCAGUUUUUUCUUUUUACAAACGCAACUCUAAGACUCUUUGUUUUAACCCUUCCAAAUGCUACGUGCUUAGACUGUGAUGUUCCUCAUCCCUUCUGUCAUGCUUUGGAUGACACCAUCAUCCAAAGGGAUCACCAGCUGGCCAGACUCCCAGAUGAAUUUCACCUUGUACAAGAGCUCACACAGGGACCAGAAAUAGAUGUCCAGAGAAAAGUAAGAACAGGAUGAGCACAUAUCAUGGAUCCCCAAGUCAUUUGCAUGGAAUUCUGCAAGCAUGGUAUGGUGUGUUCAGUUGGGAAACCUCAAAAGAGCCAUUGUACAAAUAUUUGUGUGGUCUCCUUUUGGACUUGGGUAAACCUUUUGCCUCCAUGUGUCCCUUGGUAGGGUGUUCUGCGGAUGUGAAAUAAAGCCUUUGUUACUUUGAA